Molecule: ribosomal RNA, 395 nt
Filed under: uncultured bacterium
Lineage: Bacteria
Description: bacterial SSU rRNA
Rfam family: Bacterial small subunit ribosomal RNA
Source: RNAcentral
GUGCCAGCAGCCGCGGUAAUACGGAGGGUGCGAGCGUUGUUCGGAAUUAUUGGGCGUAAAGCGCGUGUAGGCGGCUGUUUAAGUCCGAUGUGAAAGCCCUGGGCUUAACCCGGGAAGUGCAUUGGAAACUGGACAGCUUGAGUACGGGAGAGGGAGGUGGAAUUCCGAGUGUAGGGGUGAAAUCCGUAGAUAUUCGGAGGAACACCGGUGGCGAAGGCGGCCUCCUGGACCGAUACUGACGCUGAGACGCGAAAGCGUGGGGAGCAAACAGGAUUAGAUACCCUGGUAGUCCACGCCGUAAACGAUGGGCACUAGGUGUCGCGGGUAUUGACCCCUGCGGUGCCGAAGCUAACGCAUUAAGUGCCCCGCCUGGGGAGUACGGCCGCAAGGCUAAA